CAGCCGCCGCGGUAAUACGUAGGGUGCGAGCGUUAAUCGGAAUUACUGGGCGUAAAGCGUGCGUAGGCGGUGAGUUAAGCCUGCUGUGAAAUCCCCGGGCUCAACCUGGGAAUGGCAAUGGAUACUGGCAAGCUAGAGUGUGUCAGAGGAUGGCGGAAUUCCCGGUGUAGCGGUGAAAUGCGUAGAGAUCGGGAGGAACAUCAGUGGCGAAGGCGGCCAUCUGGGACAACACUGACGCUGAGGCACGAAAGCGUGGGGAGCAAACAGGAUUAGAUACCCGCGUAGUCCCUGUCUCUUAUAC
Molecule: ribosomal RNA, 301 nt
Filed under: uncultured bacterium
Lineage: Bacteria
Description: partial 16S ribosomal RNA
Rfam family: Bacterial small subunit ribosomal RNA
Source: RNAcentral